AACUCCAGGUGGAAUUGUCAAGUGUUGACAGUCUAUUGGUUAUUGUUGCUAUUUGUGGUAUUGGUUUGAAUUUUGGUUAAGCUUAUAGUGAGUUCCUUGUUUUCAAAUACAUUGGUUUCAUUUUAAAGGAUUUAACUUUGGAUUUUACUCUGGUUGGGUCGGGUUAGACUUGUGUCGCCCGACAUGUUGUGUUAAGCAUAUAGUUGAUAUAUGGCUAACACACUACUCUGGGAUAUGUUGGAUUUCGAAAAGGUGUUAUUGAAUUAUAUUACUCUGGAUUGUUUUUUGAAAACGAGAACUCACCUAAACUUAACUAGUUAUUGUAUUGGUUGGAUAUGUAUGUACUUUGGCUUUGGGAUUACUGUGUUUCGAAUGUUGAUCUUUGGUUGUGUUAAGAUGCUAGUCCUAUAUGGUGUCUAGUAAUCUUAGAGUUAGGGGUUGUUCAGAUUUUAACAUAUACAUUGUUUUAGACCCGUCGACUGCUCGUGCUUCGGAGUCUACGCAGGGUUAGCUGUUUGCCAAGAUUUACGUGGAUAAGCAAGCAGUUUAUGAUUUGAAAGCUGGUCCACUCCGAUUCUUUUGAUUCUUCGGAGGUUUUUAUGUUAUUUAACUAGUUACUGUUUUCGAACUCUUUGACCGCAGUAGAACUAGUUUAUUUAUUACAUCUGAUAUUACACUUUGGAAUUGUCGAUAUAUUCGAUUAUUUAUAUUUGGCAUGAUUACUCCGGAUUACGAUAUUGUUAUAUAUAAGGCAUGUUGUUGAACA
Mercurialis annua (annual mercury) is the source of this 766-nucleotide long non-coding RNA. RefSeq lists it as uncharacterized. NCBI's taxonomy places the organism in Eukaryota, Viridiplantae, Streptophyta, Magnoliopsida, Malpighiales, Euphorbiaceae. The transcript is spliced from 2 exons. The record is from RefSeq and is a predicted model, not a curated record.